Molecule: long non-coding RNA, 1591 nt
Organism: Meriones unguiculatus (Mongolian gerbil)
Lineage: Eukaryota; Metazoa; Chordata; Mammalia; Rodentia; Muridae
Exons: 3
Source: RefSeq, a predicted model, not a curated record
UCCCCUUACCUAAGAAAGAAAGAUAAAGAAGGAAAGAGAAAAUCCUGAGUCUAAGUUUCUAUGCCUUGUUUUCUCACUGAAUGAGAUCACUAAUAACUUAUAACCAUUCACUUUAUAAUGACAAGCAUCUAUUACCCAAGAGAGCAACCAAACCUACCCACCCAAACCUUCGGGAAACGACGACAGUCUCUUCAUAUUGCUUCUUGCUGAUUUGGGGCAUAGAAUUUCUUUUUGGGGGCCCAAAGGAAACUGGGAAAAAUGGCUAAGAAAGUUAGUGGGAACACUUGUUGUCCAGCCUCUAAAUGUUGAGAACUUGCAGGCUUAACUGAAGUCCUGUUGUAACAGUCUUAAAGGCUGCACCGUUUGGAAUCAACAGUUCUUUGAAGCUGUUGUGGAAGGAAGCUUCGAUGGAGCAGCCUCGGAAGCAGUCUGAGGUUGGAUCCCGCAGGAUGCCAGAGCAGGAGAAGAAAAACUCCAGGUUGAUAAAAGUAAGAUCUGAUAGGGGGAGACUUCCUGAAGAUCUUGGCUGCAGACAUAGGAAAGAAAUCAAGAAGACCAAACAGGACAGGCCUGCUCCUGGCAGCACCCCUCUUCUACUUCAAAGAGCACCUAAGGCUUCAUAGUGGCAAGCUAGCCGCUGGGUGAGAAAAUGUCCUUCGGUCCACUACAGGCAGAAUACUGUCCAAACUGGACAAAAGGCAUGUGGGAAAAUUGACUGCUGAGCUUUGCAAGGACAAAGAAGAAUUCCUGCCUUACAAAAAGGUCUGUCAAAUAUUCUGAGCCAGAAGGCUGAAGACGAUGCUCCAAGGUUAUAGAAGAACUUUCAGGCAGCCCAAUAUCUCCGUCAUUUCUGUAUGUUUGGAAGCUGCUUGCCUGCACUUCCUACAUAUUUAGGUAAUAUUUACUCCUUCUUAAGUCUCUGAUGAGGUUGAAGACUAGAUAGGGAUAGUCUCCCAGCUAAAUUUAAAUUGUUUAGGAUGAUGGAAAUUGAUAGAUGGUAAGAUACUUUAUCCAAGAGUGCCAAAUACACAGAUGUAAAUCUUACCUGAUAAUGUUCAUAACUGUUAUUAUUACAUCUUGUAGAACUCUGCUGGAUAAGGUUGAAGUCUGGUGCAUCUGGAGAGCCAAACUGAUCUCAGCCCAUUAAGAUGGACUCCCUCUUCUCAGCAGGGUUCUGUGCCAAUCCCCCCUGAUGUGGGUAAGCCCAGGUCUUGUACAGAGCAUCACAUAGCCCUCAGAGAAGUACCACAGGCUCCGCCCUUUCCUGAUGAGAGGCCGAGUUCAGCUAGCACCUGCGGAUUCCUGGAGAUGCCCACCCGAUGCUAAUAGUUGCCUUGGCGUCUUGACUUUCCAAAUGACCUUUGACUUUACCUAAAGAUUUUUCCCACCCAUAGGAUGACUAAGUACUUUAGUGUCCUCAUGCUGGGACAGUGCUACUGCGUGUGAACGAGGCGCUGUAGCACUACAUGUAAGCCAUGUCUCCCUGGCCCUCUGACCCCACUGAAUCAAACCCAUGUAUCCCCGGAACCCCUCCCACGGCGCAGGGUUUAUAAAUCCCGGCUUUGAAAUAAACACGUUGAGCGUGCUUGCA